AUCCCAUGAUGUGGACAUUGAUAUAAAAGAGUUAAGAAUCAAUCUCAUACUUGACAUAAACUCUCCCCUUCUUUUUGUUCAAAUUGUAAGAUUUGAUUCCUCAGAU
Molecule: small nucleolar RNA, 106 nt
Organism: Zingiber officinale
Lineage: Eukaryota; Viridiplantae; Streptophyta; Magnoliopsida; Zingiberales; Zingiberaceae
Source: RefSeq, a predicted model, not a curated record